GUCCCCAUAGUUUAGCUGGAUAAAACAGUGGAUUCCUAAUCCUCAGAUCCAGGUUCGAGUCCUGGUGGGGACACCA
This 76-nucleotide transfer RNA is filed under the name SAR324 cluster bacterium. RNAcentral's name for it is "tRNA-Arg". It matches the Rfam family "tRNA". Rfam says of the family: Transfer RNA (tRNA) molecules are approximately 80 nucleotides in length. Their secondary structure includes four short double-helical elements and three loops (D, anti-codon, and T loops). Further hydrogen bonds mediate the characteristic L-shaped molecular structure. tRNAs have two regions of fundamental functional importance: the anti-codon, which is responsible for specific mRNA codon recognition, and the 3' end, to which the tRNAs corresponding amino acid is attached (by aminoacyl-tRNA synthetases). tRNAs cope with the degeneracy of the genetic code in two manners: having more than one tRNA (with a specific anti-codon) for a particular amino acid; and 'wobble' base-pairing, i.e. permitting non-standard base-pairing at the 3rd anti-codon position. The record is from RNAcentral. Lineage: Bacteria; Deltaproteobacteria.